Molecule: ribosomal RNA, 429 nt
Filed under: Sycettusa simplex
Lineage: Eukaryota; Metazoa; Porifera; Calcarea; Leucosolenida; Heteropiidae
Description: partial large subunit ribosomal RNA
Source: RNAcentral
UAAAAGCACGUGAAACCGUUGAAAGGGAAACGCGCUCGGCUAGCAAUGCGCGUCUGUGGUUCAGCCGGCUAGUCUUGUCGAGUUGCCGUUGUGUGGAUCCGAAUGGACUACCUGCGGUGGCGGCGGUGGGCGAGCUAUGGUGCACUCCACGGGCGUGCGCGUCAGCGUCGGUUCUCGACGGACGACAAGGUGCGUGGAAAAGGUAGCUCGGUCUUCGGACUGAGUGUUACAGAUCCGUGUGCUGGGUUCGUCGUGGGACCGAGGAGAGAGAUGAUCGCUGCGGCACCUGCCUCUCGGGGCUAGCCAGCUGUUGCCAGGUGUGCGCCAGAUGCUGAGGACUGCACGCAGUGCUCGGUGUUGAGGUGUGAUCUGGUGGUGGUGUGGGUAUAGAGGUGCCUAGGACGCUGGCGUCCAAAUGGCCGUGCGCGA